Long non-coding RNA from Brienomyrus brachyistius, 430 nucleotides. RefSeq lists it as uncharacterized. The record is from RefSeq and is a predicted model, not a curated record. The transcript is spliced from 5 exons. NCBI's taxonomy places the organism in Eukaryota, Metazoa, Chordata, Actinopteri, Osteoglossiformes, Mormyridae.
CCUUCGUCUGUAAUUAUCAAUAGCUGACACGGUCUAGACAGGAGAACGUAUCAGGUUGGAAGUCCUGAGACAGGAACGGCCGCACUAUCUACACAGAUUAUUGUGCUGGAGCCCUGACGGAGGUGCGCGCACACGGAUUAUUGUGGCGAGGCCCUGACGGAGGUGCGCACACACAGAUUAUUGUGGCGAGGCCCUGACGGAGGUGCGCACACACAGAUUAUUGUGGCGAGGCCCUGACGGAGGUGCGCGCACAGAGAUUAUUGUGGUGAGGCCCUGACGGAGGUGCGCGCACACGGAUUAUUGUGGCGAGGCCCUGACGGAGGUGCGCGCACACGGAUUAUUGUGGCGAGGCCCUGACGGAGGUGCGCACACACAGAUUAUUGUGGCGAGGCCCUGACGGAGGUGCGCACACACAGAUUAUUGUGGCGAG